GGAAAACAUUAAUUGGCCCUAAAUUAAGCCUCUAGAAAUCCUAUAAGAAUGAACUUGUGUGCAAUGCAUCAUAAUGAAAAGUGUAAAAUCAGAAUUUAGUAAGACUAGAUUUACAUAUAGCUAAUUUCCUAACCCAUAUAUUUGACAUAUCAAUUUAGAAUACAAGUUCAGUUAAUCUAUGCCAACAAGUAAACAAUACAUGUUCAAUGAAACCCAUAAGACUUCUAGAGAAUCACAUUUCAAGGGGUUUUUCCUAGUGAAAAUAAUAAAUCAGCUUGCGAUCUGACGUCAUCCCCGUCAACUUAAUGCUUCAAUGAAAGAGAAAACGUAUGAAAAAAAAAUGUUUUGAAUUAGAGUUAGUCCAUUAACAGUCUACUGUU
RNAcentral lists this unclassified non-coding RNA (380 nucleotides) under Hevea brasiliensis (rubber tree). The record is from RNAcentral. Lineage: Eukaryota; Viridiplantae; Streptophyta; Magnoliopsida; Malpighiales; Euphorbiaceae.